CAGAGAAUCUCUCUCUCUCACCAUGGCGAACGUAAACCCCCCCAACGACGUUCUUCGGCGGAGCGGCCCCCGUGGCGGCGCCGCCGGAGAGCCCCUACAAACGCUGUAUUUUCGUGGCUUCUCUGAGUAUGAUUAUCGCAAUCAGUCA
This 148-nucleotide unclassified non-coding RNA is filed under the name soil metagenome. RNAcentral's name for it is "partial internal transcribed spacer 1". The record is from RNAcentral.